Molecule: long non-coding RNA, 984 nt
Organism: Prionailurus viverrinus (fishing cat)
Lineage: Eukaryota; Metazoa; Chordata; Mammalia; Carnivora; Felidae
Exons: 2
Source: RefSeq, a predicted model, not a curated record
UGCCAUGCCGCCUUCGGUUCCUCCACGGCGGCGCGUCAAUUACGGACCUCGCGGCAGAGAGCAUCUCCGAGCGCUGGCCCUCACGUGACGUCGUCGUUUGUGAUCCUUGACAUGGAGGCCAUAUAUGGGCCCUUUCGCCUCAGAGGAUUUUGGGUUUCCGACCCCGUAGCAUGAUUUCUUCAUGCGGGGCGAAGGGCCAGCCGGGCACCCCUCCACUAACAAAUGACGUCAUCCUGCUGUACCCACACAACCUUCCUAGCAGGUGCUAUGUCGCAGAUGAGGAAACUGAGGCCCAGAGAGGUUGGGGGACUUGUCCAUAAUCCCACAAUGUACAAGUGGUGGUUUACAUCUGAACCAGAACUUUCUGACGCAAAAGGCAGUGCUUUUAGCCACAGCUCCACCCGCCAUGUAACAGGGAAUCCGAAUGUUGGGGCCAAACAAAGAACCCCACCCACAAGGCUACGAAAGGAAAUUGGUGGACAUUUGCUUUUUGUAAACUUGGACCUUACUCAUCCUAGCUGGGAGCAUUGACACUGCAGUAAAGGUCCGCAAAGCCCCAAGACAAAGACAGGCCGGCCUGUCCGUUGACGUCACGGGUUGGUCACGUCCAGAACGAACGGGUCGGGCUAAGUCAGCAGUUCCCGCCUGAAGCCGCACAGUAGAACCCUAUGAAACGUACCUGUGCCUGACUCUUCCCCCAGAGAUUCUUCUUGAAUGCAUGUGAGCGGAGGGCCGAACAGCACUGACUUUUUAAAACUUUUUAUUAACGUAUCAUACACACAAAAAGCGCACACAGGUGCACAGCUCCACCGAACUUUGCAAACAGAGGACACUCAGCAUCUGCAUCGAAGGGAGGAUCUUAGCAGCCCUCCCCCACUUUUGCACCCCUCUUUGCCCCCGUCUCUACACUACCACCCACCUCCUCCUGCCAAGGAGGGGUGACCACUCCCCUGACCUCUAACAGUAAAGGUUGUUUUGAAUGUC